GGGUCUCUGGUGUAGCUGGUGCGCACGAACGCCUGAAAAGCGUUAGGACCUGGUUCGUUUCCAGGGGGACCCA
Molecule: transfer RNA, 73 nt
Filed under: Candidatus Pelagibacter sp.
Lineage: Bacteria; Pseudomonadati; Pseudomonadota; Alphaproteobacteria; Candidatus Pelagibacterales; Candidatus Pelagibacteraceae
Also listed under: 1 other name
Description: tRNA-Phe
Rfam family: tRNA
About the family: Transfer RNA (tRNA) molecules are approximately 80 nucleotides in length. Their secondary structure includes four short double-helical elements and three loops (D, anti-codon, and T loops). Further hydrogen bonds mediate the characteristic L-shaped molecular structure. tRNAs have two regions of fundamental functional importance: the anti-codon, which is responsible for specific mRNA codon recognition, and the 3' end, to which the tRNAs corresponding amino acid is attached (by aminoacyl-tRNA synthetases). tRNAs cope with the degeneracy of the genetic code in two manners: having more than one tRNA (with a specific anti-codon) for a particular amino acid; and 'wobble' base-pairing, i.e. permitting non-standard base-pairing at the 3rd anti-codon position.
Source: RNAcentral